GUGUUGCCCAGUUCAGUGGUAGAAUGCUCGCCAGCUACGCGGGCGACCCGGAUUCGAUUCUCGGCCAAUGCA
Parelaphostrongylus tenuis is the source of this 72-nucleotide non-coding RNA. The record is from the annotation of a GenBank genome assembly. Lineage: Eukaryota; Metazoa; Nematoda; Chromadorea; Rhabditida; Metastrongylidae.